UACGUAGGGUCCGAGCGUUGUCCGGAGUUAUUGGGCGUAAAGCGCGCGCAGGCGGCUUGACGCGCCCGACGUGAAAGCCCCCGGCUUAACCGGGGAGGGUCGUCGGGUACGGUCAGGCUUGAGGGCGGGAGAGGGUGGUGGAAUUCCCGGUGUAGUGGUGAAAUGCGUAGAGAUCGGGAGGAACACCUGUGGCGAAGGCGACUGCCUGGACCAGCACUGACACUGAGGCACGAAAGCGUGGGGAGCAAACAGG
Molecule: ribosomal RNA, 253 nt
Filed under: uncultured bacterium
Lineage: Bacteria
Description: partial 16S ribosomal RNA
Rfam family: Bacterial small subunit ribosomal RNA
Source: RNAcentral